Molecule: ribosomal RNA, 492 nt
Filed under: uncultured bacterium
Lineage: Bacteria
Description: partial 16S ribosomal RNA
Rfam family: Bacterial small subunit ribosomal RNA
Source: RNAcentral
AUUGAACGCUGGCGGCAUGCCUAACACAUGCAAGUCGAACGGCAACGGGGCUUCGGGUGGCGCCUAGUGGCGACGGGGGGCGGAAUACAGCGGAACGCGCCCGAAUGUACGGGUUAGCGGGGGAUAACGUAGGGUAAUUCACCAUACGACCUCAUGCUGCAUGCGGGGGAAAGCAGGGGCUCGCCCGGCCUGGGGCGACGAUAUGAGCCGAUGUCGGAGUUGCUAGUUGGUGGGGUAAAGGCGAACCAAGGCGACGAUCCGUAGCUGGUCUGAGAGGAUGAUCAGCCACACUGGGACUGAGACACGGUCCAGACUCCUACGGGAGGCAGCAGUGGGGAAUUUUGGACAAUGGGCGCAAGCCUGAUCCAGCCAUGCCGCGUGCAUGAUGAAGGCCUUCGGGUUGUAAAGUGCUUUUGUACGGAACGAAAAGCCUUCUUUUAAUACAGGGGUGUCAUGACGGUACCGUAAGAAUAAGCACCGGCUAACUACGUG